Camelus dromedarius (Arabian camel) is the source of this 109-nucleotide small nuclear RNA. NCBI's taxonomy places the organism in Eukaryota, Metazoa, Chordata, Mammalia, Artiodactyla, Camelidae. The record is from Ensembl.
GUGCUUUCUUCCUUGGGCAGCACAUAUACUAAAAUUGGAACGAUAAAGAAGAUUAGCAUGUCCCCUGCACAGGGAUGACAUGCAAAUUCAUGAAGCAUUCCAUAUUAAA